Molecule: ribosomal RNA, 372 nt
Filed under: uncultured organism
Description: bacterial SSU rRNA
Rfam family: Bacterial small subunit ribosomal RNA
Source: RNAcentral
CAGAGGGUGCGAGCGUUAAUCGGAAUUACGUGGGCGUAAAGCGCGCGUAGGCGGCUUUGCAAGUCGGGUGUGAAAUCCCCAGGCUUAACCUGGGAACCGCAUUCGAGACUGCAUUGCUAGAGUAUGGGAGAGGGAAGUGGAAUUUCCGGUGUAGCGGUGAAAUGCGUAGAUAUCGGAAGGAACAUCAGUGGCGAAAGCGACUUCCUGGACCAAUACUGACGCUCAUGUGCGAAAGCGUGGGGAGCAAACAGGAUUAGAUACCCUGGUAGUCCACGCCAUAAACGAUGAGAACUGGAUGUCGGGAGGGUCUGCCUCUCGGUGUCGUAGCUAACGCGUUAAGUUCUCCGCCUGGGGAGUACGGCCGCAAGGUUG